Molecule: long non-coding RNA, 300 nt
Organism: Agrilus planipennis (emerald ash borer)
Lineage: Eukaryota; Metazoa; Arthropoda; Insecta; Coleoptera; Buprestidae
Exons: 3
Source: RefSeq, a predicted model, not a curated record
AUUUAUUUAAUUUUAUGACCAAUAUAAUUGUAUGCAAUAAUAAUUUAUUCCUGUGUAGAUAAUUAAGAAAUGUUUCUCUGCCUUCCUAAUGUUUUGCAUUCGAUAUGGUUUUUAUCAGUCAGGGAAAGCCGUUAUUGUUAUCAGUUUCAUUUUGUUAACAGGAUUUAUAUUGCAGUUUCAUAUGCUAGUUCGUAAUUAUAAGAAAUACACACAAAUGGAAACUGUUAGUGAUUAUGUAAAUGAGCUAUCAAACAGAUUAAAUUCUGUAGAAAAAGUGGUAGAUAGAACAUCUACACUUUU